CAGUGCAGUCACCCAUAAAGUAGAAAGCACUACUAACAGCACUGGAGGGUGUAGUGUUUCCUACUUUAUGGAUGAGUGUACUGU
Non-coding RNA from Macaca mulatta (Rhesus monkey), 84 nucleotides. The record is from Rfam. Lineage: Eukaryota; Metazoa; Chordata; Mammalia; Primates; Cercopithecidae.